This 253-nucleotide long non-coding RNA is filed under the name Lathyrus oleraceus (garden pea). RNAcentral describes it as "Pisum sativum (pea) long non-coding RNA (PSAT_LNC005894)". Lineage: Eukaryota; Viridiplantae; Streptophyta; Magnoliopsida; Fabales; Fabaceae. The record is from RNAcentral.
UCGGAGCUUCGAAUAAGCUCCUAUGGUGAAAAAAAAUGCAAAUUUUGGAUUCUGCAUCAACGUGGCGGUCGUUACGAGCGUGAUGGGCUGCCUGUCAUGCUUAUGGGUCAGCUGACAGUCGCCAGCAUGGUGUCGACGAGACCAACAUGGACUUCAGGCGGGAUUUUCAUGUUGGUCAUCAUGGGGUGAUAGGUUCUUGAUGAGGGGACAUGACGGGUUGGAAGACGGUCGUCAUGGCCUCCAGGGACCAGUU